UUUAUUACAUACAAAUAUAGACAAUAAAUGUUAUUUUAAGUAGCGGAAAAAAAUGAGAAUGAGAGAAAGAAAAAUGAGGUGGAAAGAGAAAAAAAAAUGAAAAAAAAGAUGUGAAUUUGUUUGUCAACGUUUUCCUUUAAACAUAAUGAUAUGUCUAUAAUUUGCAUGUUUUGUGUGUUCAUUCAUCAUCGUUUUGAGUCUAGUUUCAUAUCUUUCAUCACUAUUUUAUAUCAUUUCUCAUCAUUCUUGCAUACUUUGCAUGAUUAGGAUAGCUUUGCAUACAUAUUGUAUUUUUGAGUUGUUUUCAGGUGAUUUGGGCUGUUGGCGAGGAAAUUGGAAGAAGCGAGCCAGAACCAGAAGACAUACUCGACCCCCAGGUCGAGUACAUCCAACACCAUACUCGACCCCCUGGUCGAGUGACAUUGGAGCCAUUCUUCCAAUCUACUCGACCCCGUGGUCGAGUAACCAUAGCUCAGGCCACUCGAUGACACCACUCGACCCCAUGGUCGAGUAUCACUACACCACACCACUUGACCAUCACUCGGCCAUUCACUCUACCACAUCACUCAACCCCCUGGUCGAGUAUCAUCACUCAACACCAACACCAUCACUCGACCAAACACUCGAUCACAUCUUCAAAGUCUACUCAAAUUCGCACUUAACAAGACAAGCUGAGCACAAGGACGAGAAGAGGAGAAGAAGAAGUGUUUGGAAGCGGUCUGGAGCUUCAUCCGAUCACGAAGCCCAUCUCGGCCCAUUAUCACUCUAUGGGCCGGUCGAUUAGGUUCCCGGCCCAUCAACUAUCAUUUUAUUUUGUUUUGUAUAAAUAGGUGUCUGAGGGUUUUGUCCUAAGACAUCCAGUCGACAUUGAGUUUUUGCUUCAGUUUUAUUUUCUGAUUUACUCUGGCUGCGCCGCUUUGCUUCUGUAACCUGUAAUUCGAUAUUUUUCCAAGUUAUUCAGAUUCAGCAUUUGAUUUCAUCUGUCAUCUUGUUUCUCUACUCUUUAUCUCUUUACUUAUGCAAUAUUAUCAUUUACCUGCGUUUAUGUCUUUGAGCAUGUUGUUUGAGUAGUGACAUAGAGUUCUUAAGGAUGGGAUAGAAUGGUUGUGGAAUCCUUAGUCUGUAGAAUGGUUAAGUUUUAGAAUUGAUUGAAAUCCCUUCAGGACUAGUUGUGUUUACUGCUUAUUUCUUUCUGAUCAACUGGAAUUCGAUCCAAAGCAUUCCCGCACCCAGAAGGUAUUCGAUGGAAUGCUUGAUCCACUAGUUCUUGAGAUAUGCAUCUCUAUCCCAAGGGAUUGGCCGUUUAGAGCGUGUAUUGACUUUAUUAGUCGGUUCUUAUUGCCUGUAUAGUUAGAUUCCGUUAAUGGGAAUUAGUCUAGGCUUGCUUUGCUUGAAGAUUUCUAUCACGGGAGUGAAUAGAUCUGUUGUUGAACCUUUUGUCUAGAGAUAGCUUGAUUGCGCUUGUUAACCAUCCGAAUAGGCUAGGAUACCACUCCAUUUGAUUACCCCAUCCUUAGGAAUUUCUCGUCUAACUGAUUUCUCAGUUUUAUCGCUAUCGCUUAAUCGUUCUCAUUGCAUGUUUUUUAGUUUUUGCAAUUACUCGACCAACUUACUCGACCACACCUAGUGUCUGGCAACAGACUGUGCAGUCGAGUACAGUUGUCUCAUUUCCUGUCUGUUACUCGACUAGCAUACUCGACCACACCGAAGGGCUGGCAACAGACUGUGCAGUCGAGUAUAGCUGUUUCAUUUCCUACCUGUUACUCGAUCACAUCCUGCUUCUGUCAUCAACCAGUUGUGGUCGAGUGAUUUUAGUAAUUCUGUUAAAAUUUUUGUUUUCUGCAUGUUUGCUUAUGACUGUUAGAAACCUCAAAACCGUUAUUGCUUGGCUUGACUUAGUGACUUCUGAUCACAUCUCAUCUGUUUGCAUCACACCUUAUUGGAUUGACACCUAAAAUACUACAACGACAAGAUAGUGUUUUAGGAUAAUUGACUAAAAACAUACUAUCACAAAAUAUCUUGUUGAAGGAUAUUUUGUUAUUGAUUUGAAUUGAACCGUUAAAAAAAAUUAUAAAAAAA
Molecule: small RNA, 2079 nt
Filed under: Arabidopsis thaliana (thale cress)
Lineage: Eukaryota; Viridiplantae; Streptophyta; Magnoliopsida; Brassicales; Brassicaceae
Description: ATSL156730
Source: RNAcentral